GUGGGGAUCUUGGGCAUGGGCGAGNNCCUGACCCAGCGACGCCGCGUGAGGGAAGAAGGCCCUCGGGUCGUAAACCUCUGUCAGGAGGGAAGAAAAUGCUACAUAUUAAUAGUGUGUAGUAUUGACGGUACCUCCAGAGGAAGCGCCGGCCAACUCCGUGCCAGCAGCCGCGGUAAUACNGGAGGGCGCAAGCGUUAUUCGGAAUUACUGGGCGUAAAGCGCGCGUAGGCGGCAACGUAAGUCAGGUGUGAAAGUCCUCGGCUCACCCGGGGGAUGGCACUUGAAACUGCGUANCUUGGAGUUCUGGAGAGGNUGGCNGGAAUUCCNGGUGUAGGAGUGAAAUCCGNAGA
Molecule: ribosomal RNA, 350 nt
Filed under: uncultured delta proteobacterium
Lineage: Bacteria; Deltaproteobacteria
Description: partial 16S ribosomal RNA
Rfam family: Bacterial small subunit ribosomal RNA
Source: RNAcentral